AUAUAUGCGCCAAUCUCUCUUUGCUCCUUCCAAGCCCUCAUGGCGGGUUCAAGACCCUCCUCUGUCUCUUCGCAGUCUUCUUCUCAGGCCUUCACUUCCCGUCUGUUAUUGCUUCUCACUCUCCUUCCCUUAACUCUUGCUGCCUUCGCUUUUGUUCUUCAAUGGCGUGGUGGAUUGACCGACCCCGUUUCUCGCUGGUCGCCCGACCACCACGAGUUUCCUGGAAUGGAAACCACCAGCUCCUCCACCGCUUCAUCAAGAACGAAGGAUUCCGGUUGUACGGAUCUUCUGGGUCGGAGCCAUUACCCGUCAUUUCCUUAUUACAGGAACUGGAAAUUCGAUUUCGGGUCUGAUCUGAAGCCCAAGAUAUGUAUAACUACAAGCACUUCUGCAGGCUUAGAUCAGACUUUGCCCUGGAUAUUUUAUCACAAAGUUAUUGGAGUUUCAUCCUUUUUCCUUUUCGUGGAGGGGAAGGCUACCUCUCCUAAUGUAUCUAAAGUUUUGGAAACAAUACCAGGUGUGAAAGUUAUAUACAGAACAAGAGAACUGGAGGAACAACAAGCUAGAAGCCGGAUCUGGAAUGAGACUUGGCUGGCAAGCUUCUUUUACAAACCAUGUAAUUAUGAAUUAUUUGUCAAGCAAUCCCUCAACAUGGAAAUGGCCAUUGUCAUGGCAAGGGAGGCUGGCAUGGAUUGGAUUAUCCAUCUUGAUACUGAUGAGCUAAUACAUCCUGCGGGAGCUCAUGAAUAUUCUUUGAGACAAUUGCUUUCAGAUGUGCCUGGAAACGUUGAUAUGGUCAUCUUUCCAAAUUAUGAGAGUAGUGUUGAGCGAGAUGAUGUCAAGGAGCCUUUCAGUGAGGUUUCAUUGUUCAAGAAGAACUAUGACCAUCUUCCAAAAGAUGUAUACUUUGGAAAUUAUAAAGAAGCAACUCGUGGUAAUCCAAACUAUUUUCUGACAUAUGGAAAUGGGAAAUCCGCAGCUCGAAUUCAAGAUCAUCUUCGCCCUAAUGGUGCACAUAGAUGGCAUAACUAUAUGAAGACUCCAAAUGAGAUCAAAUUGGAUGAGGCUGCUGUUCUGCAUUACACAUACCCAAAAUUUUCCGAUUUGACUUCAAGACGGGAUCGGUGUGGUUGCAAGCCUACAAAGGAUGAUGUUAAAAGAUGUUUUAUGUUGGAAUUUGACAGAGCUGCAUU
This 1193-nucleotide unclassified non-coding RNA is filed under the name Hevea brasiliensis (rubber tree). Lineage: Eukaryota; Viridiplantae; Streptophyta; Magnoliopsida; Malpighiales; Euphorbiaceae. The record is from RNAcentral.